RNAcentral lists this ribosomal RNA (497 nucleotides) under uncultured bacterium. RNAcentral's name for it is "partial 16S ribosomal RNA". It matches the Rfam family "Bacterial small subunit ribosomal RNA", at positions 28 to 507 of the family's 1533-position model. The record is from RNAcentral.
GAUGAACGCUGGCGGCGUGCCUAAUACAUGCAAGUCGAGCGAACAGACGAGGAGCUUGCUCCUCUGACGUUAGCGGCGGACGGGUGAGUAACACGUGGAUAACCUACCUAUAAGACUGGGAUAACUUCGUGAAACCGUAUCUAAUACCGGAUAAUAUAUUGAACCGCAUGGUUCAAUAGUUAAAGUCGGUUUUUCUGUCACUUAUAGAUGGAUCCGCGCCGCAUUAGCUAGUUGGUAAGGUAACGGCUUACCAAGGCAACGAUGCGUAGCCGACCUGAGAGGGGGAGCGGCAAAACGGGAAGUGAGAAAAGGAACAGACUACUACGGGAGGAAGCAGAAGGGAAUAUGCCGCAAAGGGCGAAAGCAUGACGGAGCAACGCCGCGUGAGUGAUGAAGGUGUUCGGAUCGUAAAACUCUGUUAUUAGGGAAGAAAAAAUGUGUAAGUAAAUAUGCACGUCUUGACGGUAACUAAACAGAAAGCAACGGCUAACUACGUG